UACGUAGGGAGCAAGCGUUGUUCGGAUUUACUGGGCGUAAAGGGCGCGUAGGCGGCAAAUUAAGUCAGCUGUGAAAUCUCCGAGCUUAACUCGGAACGGUCAGCUGAUACUGAUCUGCUAGAGUGCGGAAGGGGCAAUCGGAAUUCUUGGUGUAGCGGUGAAAUGCGUAGAUAUCAAGAGGAACACCUGAGGUGAAGACGGGUUGCUGGGCCGACACUGACGCUGAGUGCGCGAAAGCCAGGGGAGCAAACGGG
RNAcentral lists this ribosomal RNA (254 nucleotides) under uncultured bacterium. RNAcentral describes it as "partial 16S ribosomal RNA". It matches the Rfam family "Bacterial small subunit ribosomal RNA", at positions 524 to 776 of the family's 1533-position model. The record is from RNAcentral.